Molecule: long non-coding RNA, 1224 nt
Filed under: Chinchilla lanigera (long-tailed chinchilla)
Lineage: Eukaryota; Metazoa; Chordata; Mammalia; Rodentia; Chinchillidae
Description: lncRNA (ENSCLAG00000024594.1)
Source: RNAcentral
UGUCCAUGAAACAUUAAUCCAGUUAUAGUUGAUUUUCUCUCUUCAGGGGUGACUUUGAAUUCUGAUUGGAGAAAUACUUUUUCCCAGCUGGUUUUCAUUUUAACUUUCUUGUUCCUUGACUUAGAUAAAAACUUCUGCCCUAAAAUGAUUUUCUGUGUUUUAAAAUGUCUUUGUGUUCAGUUUCACACACCAAAGUCCUUCCUGCUGGGCUGAGAAGCUGGCUUUGCUGUCUGUAACUAGUAACACCCAACCUGAUUUCUCAAGAUGGCCCUGGGAGCAGCUCUGCCAGGAGUCACGGCCUCUCCAGGGUGAUGGUGUUGGAGGAUGUCCUGUGGGCGACAGUGCCCCCACCCGAACUUCCAGCCCAUGUGGAAGGUGCUGCCAGGCAGAAAGCAAAAAGCGAACAACAUCCUGUGGAAUGAAUGAAAGAACUGACCGGAUCUUCCCAUGUCCCUUGGCAGCACCUGGUUUGAGCCAUGUGGAAGAAUUCUUCUGUGGCCAACACAAGACAGAAAGAAACAGCGGAAGCCUGCAGACUGUGACCAAGCGAGGGCUGCACCUCAGACAGAGACCGGGUCACGAGGGGACUAAGUAGCACAAGCAGCAGUGUCCCCAGCAAUGCUUUCUUCAUCCAAAGGGAUGCUGCCCAGCACAGACGCUACAAACUCAAGAUGCGUUGUUGAGUGCAUUAAUGAUUAAAACUAAUGAUCCAAGCAUAAAUCCCUCUACAUAUAAGAUAGAUCACUAUACUUUAAAUGAAAUACCAAUACAUGGUAGUGCCUCUACGUAGGAAGUCUUACCUGUUCUUUAGCCUUCAUCUGUGAAUAUUUCUAAUAGAAAUAUCCUUGAUUAGCCGUGCUUGUUUGGUAUUUCUGGCCUGCAUUCGAAGAGGUGGAUUUUGUCUCAGAUCUUCAACAUCCUAUAAAUGUGUCGAGCAUGGUGGGAAGCCUGUCCCCAUAUGCACAAUGCCUGUGAAAGCUUGGUGUUCGAUGGCAGCACUGCCGGCGGAGGGGCAAUGUGUCCAGGCUGUCCACCCAGCUUUUCCUGCUCCUGGCUGUUUCCCUUGUUCAGGUAAUGUCUGACCUCCAGGACAAAGCAAGGUUUAGGAUGCUUCCUCAUGUGCUCAGUGUUUUAAUUUUUCUCUGAUAACAUGGACUAUGGAGAUGACCUUCUAGUUUUAGAUCAAGACCUCUUGGUUAGAAACCCCAAAGAACUAAAUUCUUA